RNAcentral lists this ribosomal RNA (252 nucleotides) under uncultured bacterium. Its description in RNAcentral is "partial 16S ribosomal RNA". It matches the Rfam family "Bacterial small subunit ribosomal RNA", at positions 524 to 776 of the family's 1533-position model. The record is from RNAcentral.
UACGGAGGAUGCGAGCGUUAUCCGGAUUUAUUGGGUUUAAAGGGUGCGCAGGCGGAUUUUUAAGUCAGCGGUCAAAUCGUGGGGCUCAACCCCAUCCAGCCGUUGAAACUAUCGUUCUUGAGUGUUGGAGAGGCAGGCGGAAUUCCGUGUGUAGCGGUGAAAUGCGUAGAAAUACGGAGGAACACCAGUGGCGAAGGCGGCCUGCUGGACAUUAACUGACGCUGAUGCGCGAAAGCGUGGGGAGCAAACAGG